UGUCAGGCCCCAUGCAACGAGCGCCGACGAAUCCCGCCAGGACCGGAAGGUAGCAACGGCAGUCAGGAUUCUCGUGUGCCGUGGGUCACCUGGCACUU
This 98-nucleotide signal recognition particle RNA is filed under the name Puniceicoccales bacterium. RNAcentral describes it as "signal recognition particle sRNA small type". It matches the Rfam family "Bacterial small signal recognition particle RNA". Rfam says of the family: The signal recognition particle (SRP) is a universally conserved ribonucleoprotein involved in the co-translational targeting of proteins to membranes. Archaeal SRP consists of a 7S RNA and homologues of the eukaryotic SRP19 and SRP54 proteins. In most bacteria, the SRP consists of a 4.5S RNA and the Ffh protein (a homologue of the eukaryotic SRP54 protein). The record is from RNAcentral. Lineage: Bacteria; Pseudomonadati; Verrucomicrobiota; Opitutia; Puniceicoccales.